RNAcentral lists this ribosomal RNA (292 nucleotides) under uncultured bacterium. Its description in RNAcentral is "partial 16S ribosomal RNA". It matches the Rfam family "Bacterial small subunit ribosomal RNA", at positions 773 to 1060 of the family's 1533-position model. The record is from RNAcentral.
GUGGAUUAGAUACCCUGGUAGUCCUAGCAGUAAACGGUGCACGUUUGGUGUGGGGGGAUUCGACCCCUUCCGCGCCGGAGCUAACGCGUUAAGCGUGCCGCCUGGGAAGUACGAUCGCAAGAUUAAAACUCAAAGAAAUUGACGGGGACCCGCACAAGCGGUGGAGUAUGUGGCUUAAUUCGAUGCAACGCGAAGAACCUUACCUGGUCUUGACAUGCACUGUGUCUCCGGUGAAAGCCGGAUAGUGUAGCAAUACACGCUCUGCACAGGUGCUGCACGGUUGUCGCCAACU